Molecule: non-coding RNA, 148 nt
Filed under: Chlorocebus sabaeus (green monkey)
Lineage: Eukaryota; Metazoa; Chordata; Mammalia; Primates; Cercopithecidae
Source: Rfam by way of RNAcentral
GCUGGGUAUGGUGGCGCAUGCCUGUAGUCCCAGCUACUCGGGAGGUUGAGGCAGGAGAAUCACUUGAGCCCAGGAGGUAGAGGUUGUAGUGAGCUGAGAUCAGGCCACUGCACUCCAGCCUGGGCAACAGAGUGAGACUCCGUCUCAA